CCGACCUCUGCUCUGGAGGAGGAAUGUGCUGGCAGUCCUGACUCAGCUGUUCCAUGCAGCCUGACUACCAUGUCUGCGCUGAUGUUUGUCCUGCCACGGUUCAACUUAUCAUUUCAUUCCCUAUAGGGUCCAUAAUCAAGAUUCCCUGGUGUGUCCUUUCAGACUUUAUGAUAUUUCUUCCAGGAAACUCAACCUCUGAUCUGGCGCUUCUAGAAAGGACCUGUAGGCAAAUAAUGGACAUGCCCUCAGAGUCAGCACUGGACGUGAUGCAGACACGCAGCCUUUAUUCUACAUUUACUGGUCGAAUAAGCUGAUGCAAUCUCUGUCACCAAACUGAAAUACUUCUUAUUAAAUACCUGGUUACUUGCUAACACACUAUGGGCUGAACUUUGGGAGCCCACCUGCAUCACAAGGGACUGGUCCAAUGAGAUGGAACAACCUAUGCUCCUCACCAACAGGAUAACCCCUCAAGAUUGAAGAUGAACAACAAAAGGGGGGAUUGAUACGGGUUAACACAAGGUUAACAUAAGGGAAGCCAUAUUGUAAAGAAGAAACCAUAUUGUAACUUUGAAUGACCUCUGAUUAACUAACCCAGACAUGCUCUGUAGAUUUUAUGGACCCUGUCCAGCUGCUAUAAUUUGAUAAGUUUGUUCUUUUGAGUUCCUUAGGAAUGUGAUGACCCCCAGGUAGAGAGUCUGUGCUGAUGGCCAUCAUCAUUGACAACUGAAAGAUCAGGGUAUAGGCCAUUGCUCUGGUCUCUGAUGCAUCUCCAGUAAAACAAAAGACUAUCAGAAACUGAGACCAGAUGUCUUCCCCACCUGGAGAACAGAUGGAGGCCCCACUGGGAUUAGGUCUAUUUUUCAGGGACUGUUAAAAUUUGGGUUGUCUAUACUUCUUGUCCUUCUGGUAAGCCAGGAACAUGAGAAUAUUUCCAAAUGAGUGCUAAAAAUGUCAUUCCUUUAACCCAGAUCUAUGCCCCAAUUGAGCAGGAAGUAGCUAGAUCGGUCAUCGCCCCAAAUCCCUCAAGAAUGAGAAGUGACCAAACAAUAGGGGGGAUUGAAACCAGCAAACAGCCAUUGAUGAUUAAGUAUCUAGGUACUAAAGUUUUUUCCUCUUUGCAGUUACUGAUUAUAGCUUUUAGCUGUUGAACCCAGCCAUUGGUAACUGUGCUGUUUAGGCAAUCUGCUACCUGACUCCCACCAGGGUCCUAUAGAUAACAUCUCCCUGGAGCCUGGGUCACCAUGGUAAUGGGUGUGUGAGCUGUUUUUCAGGAAUUAGAACUCCUUGUCCACUUCAGGCCAGUUGAGGCCACCAACCUCUCAACGGGGCUCAAGCAGAUGUCUGAUAGGCAACCUUUCGACAUCAAGAGGCUAAAAACUCCACCCUCUGAUCAUGCUAAUACCGCCAUUUUGUGAACAUGGGUCCUAUGAAGAGUCAUGAAGUCUGACUACGCUUGUGCAGAUCAUGGAUUACCUCACCUCUCCUCACCUCCAAUCACCUCACUCCACAUUUCAGACCACCUUGCCCCAUCCCAUAAAUAUCACUGAGUCCCUUUUUUUGGGGAAGCAAAUUUGGGGCUCAUGCUCCCACUUCCUCACUUGGCUGCCUUGGAAGUAAACCCUCUCUCUGCUGCGAUGUUGUCAUCUCACUGUUUGGCUUUCUCGGGGGGAGGAGUGGAGGGGGGCAAACACGA
Molecule: long non-coding RNA, 1693 nt
Organism: Equus asinus (donkey)
Lineage: Eukaryota; Metazoa; Chordata; Mammalia; Perissodactyla; Equidae
Source: Ensembl